This 78-nucleotide unclassified non-coding RNA is filed under the name Pseudomonas granadensis. Lineage: Bacteria; Pseudomonadati; Pseudomonadota; Gammaproteobacteria; Pseudomonadales; Pseudomonadaceae. The record is from RNAcentral.
AGUGAGCCUGCUCGCGAUAGCGGUGGAUCAGUUGACGCCUGUGCUGGCUGAUCCACCGCUAUCGCGAGCAGGCUCACU